This 301-nucleotide ribosomal RNA is filed under the name uncultured bacterium. RNAcentral describes it as "partial 16S ribosomal RNA". It matches the Rfam family "Bacterial small subunit ribosomal RNA", at positions 509 to 808 of the family's 1533-position model. The record is from RNAcentral.
CAGUCGCCGCGGUAAUACGAAGGGGGCUAGCGUUGUUCGGAUUUACUGGGCGUAAAGCGCACGUAGGCGGAUCCUUAAGUCAGAGGUGAAAUCCCAAGGCUCAACCUUGGAACUGCCUUUGAUACUGGGGAUCUCGAGUUCGGGAGAGGUGAGUGGAACUGCGAGUGUAGAGGUGAAAUUCGUAGAUAUUCGCAAGAACACCAGUGGCGAAGGCGGCUCACUGGCCCGAUACUGACGCUGAGGUGCGAAAGCGUGGGGAGCAAACAGGAUUAGAUACCCCUGUGUCCCUGUCUCUUAUACA